This 621-nucleotide long non-coding RNA is filed under the name Medicago truncatula (barrel medic). Its description in RNAcentral is "long non-coding RNA (MTRU_LNC001130)". Lineage: Eukaryota; Viridiplantae; Streptophyta; Magnoliopsida; Fabales; Fabaceae. The record is from RNAcentral.
GGGAAAGAGAUAUAUUUCGGAACAUUAGGAAUAGGAAAAGGAAGAAACACAGUAGCUAGAGACAGGCUCGUAUUUGGCUAUGUGAAAAACAUAAUUCAUUACUAGAAAAAAGAGGACAAAAAAUAAUUGUACAACUACAAUUAGGUCAAACACUCAAGAGUAUCCAAAAGGAGAAAAUAUACUCCUUAAGUAUAUAAUCUUUCGAAAAAGGUAAAAGGAAAAAUGAAAACGAAGUGCACCUAAAAUCCAACUAAGCCCCCCAAAAUUAACCACUCAUGAUGAUACUUAAUGGGCAGCCACUAUAAGUUUCAAUGCUUUCAAUUGUCUCGCUUUGGCCUCCUACGUGGAGCAUUGGCUGUUUCUUCCUUCUCUUUGUUGUCUUCAUUCUCUCCACCAGCUUGGGAAGUUUCUGUGCGUUCUGUGUUGGUCUUCUUCUCUACCUUCGCCUCCACCUUAGCCUGCAGAAGAACAGACUUGGUUAUGAGCAUGAAUGUGAAUGAAAAAUACCCCCAUGAAAUUAAUAUGAAUGAGCAUGAAAUAAGUUUUACUACUUACAGGUUUCUUCCCGCCGAAUAUGAGCCUAAAGAAAAUUGUUACGAAAACAACCACAACGGAUGCAAG